CCUACGGGAGGCAGCAGUGGGGAAUAUUGGGCAAUGGAGGCAACUCUGACCCAGCAACGCCGCGUGAAUGAUGAAGGUCUUCGGAUUGUAAAGUUCUGUGAUGGGGGAUGAACACAAUGACGGUACCCCAAUAGCAAGCCACGGCUAACUACGUGCCAGCAGCCGCGGUAAUACGGAGGUGGCAAGCGUUAUCCGGAAUGACUGGGCGUAAAGGGUGCGUAGGUGGUUUAGUAAGUUGGCGGUGAAAUUCCGGGGCUCAACCUCGGCGCUACCGCGAGAACUAUUAGACUAGAGUGCAGGGAGGGUAAGUGGAAUUCCUAGUGUAGCGGUGGAAUGCGUAGAUAUUAGGAGGAACAUCAGGGGCGAAGGCGACUUACUGGACUGUAACUGACACUGAGGCACGAAAGCGUGGGGAGCGAACAGGAUUAGAUACCCCUGUAGUC
RNAcentral lists this ribosomal RNA (443 nucleotides) under uncultured bacterium. RNAcentral's name for it is "partial 16S ribosomal RNA". It matches the Rfam family "Bacterial small subunit ribosomal RNA", at positions 338 to 795 of the family's 1533-position model. The record is from RNAcentral.